UUGCACGCUGGCGGAAUGCUUUACCCAUGCAAGUCGAACGGCAGCACGGGGGCAGCCCUGGUGGCGAGUGGCGAACGGGUGAGUAAUACAUCGGAACGUGCCCGGUCGUGGGGGAUAACGUAGCGAAAGUUACGCUAAUACCGCAUACGAUCUGAGGAUGAAAGCGGGGGACCUUCGGGCCUCGCGCGAUCGGAGCGGCCGAUGUCAGAUUAGGUAGUUGGUGGGGUAAAGGCCUACCAAGCCGACGAUCUGUAGCUGGUCUGAGAGGACGACCAGCCACACUGGGACUGAGACACGGCCCAGACUCCUACGGGAGGCAGCAGUGGGGAAUUUUGGACAAUGGGCGCAAGCCUGAUCCAGCCAUUCCGCGUGCAGGACGAAGGCCUUCGGGUUGUAAACUGCUUUUGUACGGAACGAAAAGGCUCCGGCUAAUACCUGGGGCUCAUGACGGUACCGUAAGAAUAAGCACCGGCUAACUACGUG
Molecule: ribosomal RNA, 483 nt
Filed under: uncultured bacterium
Lineage: Bacteria
Description: partial 16S ribosomal RNA
Rfam family: Bacterial small subunit ribosomal RNA
Source: RNAcentral